GGGUGCGAUCAUACCAGCACUAAUGCACCGGAUCCCAUCAGAACUCCGCAGUUAAGCGUGCUUGGGCGAGAGUAGUACUAGGAUGUGGGUGACCCCCUGGGAAGUCCUCGUGUUGCACCCC
Lactuca sativa (garden lettuce) is the source of this 121-nucleotide ribosomal RNA. The record is from RefSeq and is a predicted model, not a curated record. NCBI's taxonomy places the organism in Eukaryota, Viridiplantae, Streptophyta, Magnoliopsida, Asterales, Asteraceae.